GAUUAACGCUAGCGGCAGGCCUAAUACAUGCAAGUCGAACGGCAGCACGGGUAGCAAUAUCUGGUGGCGAGUGGCGCACGGGUGCUUAACACGUAUGCAACUUACCUCUAACUGGGGGAUAGCCCAUCGAAAGGUGGAUUAAUACCGCAUAACAUUAUUAAAUAGCAUUAUUUGAUAAUCAAACCUCAGGGGGUUAGAGAUGGGCAUGCGUCCGAUUAGCUUGUUGGCGGGGUAAAGGCCACCAAGGCGACGAUCGAUAGCUGGUCUGAGAGGAUGAUCAGCCACACUGGAACUGAGACACGGUCCAGACUCCUACGGGAGGCAGCAGUAGGGAAUAUUGGACAAUGGGGGCGAACCCUGAUCCAGCCAUGCCGCGUGAGUGAAGAAGGCCCUCGGGUUGUAAAGCUCUUUUGUCCGGAAAGAAAGCAUCUGGUUAAUACCCGGGUGUUCUGACGGUACCGGAAGAAUAAGCACCGGCUAACUUCGUGCCAGCAG
RNAcentral lists this ribosomal RNA (495 nucleotides) under uncultured bacterium. RNAcentral's name for it is "bacterial SSU rRNA". It matches the Rfam family "Bacterial small subunit ribosomal RNA", at positions 28 to 514 of the family's 1533-position model. The record is from RNAcentral.